CCUGGCUCGGUGGGGGCAGGUGUGGUUGCUGUGCUACACAAGUGUCAAUAGGUGGCAGAAAAAGAGGCUACAUCUACACUCAAGUGUUCUGACUUGUGAACAUCUGAAUGAUCAAUAGUGUUAACA
Rattus norvegicus (Norway rat) is the source of this 126-nucleotide small nucleolar RNA. Ensembl annotates it as small nucleolar RNA SNORA17. Lineage: Eukaryota; Metazoa; Chordata; Mammalia; Rodentia; Muridae. The record is from Ensembl.